GAUGAACGCUGGCGGCGUGCCUAAUACAUGCAAGUUGAGCGAACAGACGAGGAGCUUGCUCCUCUGACGUUAGCGGCGGACGGGUGAGUAACACGUGGAUAACCUACCUAUAAGACUGGGAUAACUUCGGGAAACCGGAGCUAAUACCGGAUAAUAUAUUGAACCGCAUGGUUCAAUAGUGAAAGACGGUUUUGCUGUCACUUAUAGAUGGAUCCGCGCCGCAUUAGCUAGUUGGUAAGGUAACGGCUUACCAAGGCAACGAUGCGUAGCCGACCUGAGAGGGUGAUCGGCCACACUGGAACUGAGACACGGUCCAGACUCCUACGGGAGGCAGCAGUAGGGAAUCUUCCGCAAUGGGCGAAAGCCUGACGGAGCAACGCCGCGUGAGUGAUGAAGGUCUUCGGAUCGUAAAACUCUGUUAUUAGGGAAGAACAAAUGUGUAAGUAACUAUGCACGUCUGGACGGUACCUAAUCAGAAAGCCACGGCUAACUACGU
RNAcentral lists this ribosomal RNA (496 nucleotides) under uncultured bacterium. Its description in RNAcentral is "partial 16S ribosomal RNA". It matches the Rfam family "Bacterial small subunit ribosomal RNA", at positions 28 to 506 of the family's 1533-position model. The record is from RNAcentral.